GGACAAUGGGGGAAACCCUGAUCCAGCCAUCCCGCGUGUGCGAUGAAGGCCUUCGGGUUGUAAAGCACUUUUGGCAGGAAAGAAACGUCGCGGGUUAAUACCCCGCGGAACUGACGGUACCUGCAGAAUAAGCACCGGCUAACUACGUGCCAGCAGCCGCGGUAAUACGUAGGGUGCAAGCGUUAAUCGGAAUUACUGGGCGUAAAGCGUGCGCAGGCGGUUCGGAAAGAAAGAUGUGAAAUCCCAGAGCUUAACUUUGGAACUGCAUUUUUAACUACCGGGCUAGAGUGUGUCAGAGGGAGGUGGAAUUCCGCGUGUAGCAGUGAAAUGCGUAGAUAUGCGGAGGAACACCGAUGGCGAAGGCAGCCUCCUGGGAUAACACUGACGCUCAUGCACGAAAGCGUGGGGAGCAAACAGGAUUAGAUACCCUGGUAGUCCACGCCCUAAACGAUGUCAACUAGCUGUUGGGGCCUUCGGACCUUGGUAGCGCAGCUAACGCGUGAAGUUGACCGCCUGG
RNAcentral lists this ribosomal RNA (517 nucleotides) under Achromobacter denitrificans. Its description in RNAcentral is "bacterial SSU rRNA". It matches the Rfam family "Bacterial small subunit ribosomal RNA", at positions 366 to 876 of the family's 1533-position model. Lineage: Bacteria; Pseudomonadati; Pseudomonadota; Betaproteobacteria; Burkholderiales; Alcaligenaceae. The record is from RNAcentral.